Long non-coding RNA from Dreissena polymorpha, 817 nucleotides. RefSeq lists it as uncharacterized. The transcript is spliced from 2 exons. Lineage: Eukaryota; Metazoa; Mollusca; Bivalvia; Myida; Dreissenidae. The record is from RefSeq and is a predicted model, not a curated record.
CUAGAAAGAACCAAUCAAAACUCGCGUCUUAUCCAGCAUUCAUGCAGUCAUCAUGAUGACGGUUGUUUCACAUUAACACAAAACCUUUUAAGGGCGAAAGAGUGAUCAAUUUUGAUGACAUUAGCAAUGAGCUGUAGCACUGUUCCCAACUUGAACAUCAUCUUCUGUGUACAUACCUGAGGCAGAGCCAGCUUGCCCAUCUGACAUCUGUUGUGGACAAGCGAGUCAGAGCCAGCUUGCACGUCAUCUGUUGUGGACAUCCGUGUUAGAGCCAGCUUGCACGUCCUCUAUUGUGGACAUCGGUGUUAGUGCUAGCUUGCAUGUCAUCUGUUGUGAACAUCCGUGUAAGAGCCAGCUUGCACGUCAUCUCUUUUGGACAUCAGUGUUAGAGCCAGCUUGCACAUCCUCUGUUGUGGACAUCUGUGUAAGUGCUAGCUUGCACGUAAUCUGUUGUGGACAUCUGUGUUAGAGCCAGCUUGCACGUCAUAUGUUUAGGACAUCAGUCAGAGAUAGCUUGCAUGUUAUUUACUUGUGGACGUAAGUCAGAGCCAGCAAGGACAAUCUCUGUUGUGGAUAUCUGUCUUAGAGCUUGCACGUCAUCGGUUGUUCACAUCUUUGUAAUAACCAGCUUGCACAUCAACUGAUGUGGAAAUCUGAGUCAGAGCCAGCUUGCACAUCAUCCGUUGUGGACAUCUCUUUAUGAUUCUACUCUUUGCUUAGAUUGACACUGUGACUUUAGUGUAAUAUGUUACAACCUUAAGCUAUUCCUAUUGUUGAAUAAAAAUAUUGUGUCAUUAAAAUAUAUUUUGUUGGAUAA